GGACUCGGGGGGAAGUAUGCUCGCAAGAGUGAAACUUAAAGGAAUUGACGGAAGGGCACCACCAGAUGUGGAGCCUGCGGCUUAAUUUGACUCAACACGGGAAAACUUACCAGGUCCAGACAUAGUCAGGAUUGACAGAUUGAAGUUCUUUCAUGAUUCUAUGCAUGGUGGUGCAUGGCCGUUCUUAGUUCGUGGAUUGCUCUGUUAGGUUAAUUCCAUUAACGAACGAGACCCCAGCCAUCUAACUAGCUGUCGCUACUCCAGUAGCGUUUGUAUAUGCCUUAGGCAAGCAAGGUCAGCUUCUUAGAGGGACAGCCUGCGUUAGCAGGAGGAAGUUUGGGGCAAUAACAGGUCAGUGAUGCCCUUAGAUGCUCUGGGCUGCACGCGCGCUACAAUGGUGCAUUCAGUGAGCAUAACCGAGCUUGAAAAGGCCCGGUAAUCUUCAAAGUGCAUCUUAGUUGGGAUAGAUGAUUGCAAUUAUUCAUCUUGAACAAGAAUAUCUAGUAAACGCAAGUCAUCAACUUGCAAUGAUUACGUCCCCUGCCCUUUGUACACWCCGCCCGUSGCUCCUWCCGAUUGAAUAAUCCCGUGAAUUGAGUGGGAUUGGAACCUUUUUGCGCAAAAGGGUCCAAWAACUCUGUGAACC
RNAcentral lists this ribosomal RNA (646 nucleotides) under uncultured Haplosporidia. RNAcentral's name for it is "SSU rRNA". It matches the Rfam family "Eukaryotic small subunit ribosomal RNA", at positions 1120 to 1785 of the family's 1831-position model. The record is from RNAcentral. Lineage: Eukaryota; Endomyxa; Ascetosporea; Haplosporida.